This 395-nucleotide ribosomal RNA is filed under the name uncultured bacterium. Its description in RNAcentral is "bacterial SSU rRNA". It matches the Rfam family "Bacterial small subunit ribosomal RNA", at positions 357 to 769 of the family's 1533-position model. The record is from RNAcentral.
GGGAAUAUUGGACAAUGGGCGAAAGCCUGAUCCAGCCAUGCCGCGUGAGUGAUGAAGGCCCUAGGGUUGUAAAGCUCUUUUAACGGGGAAGAUAAUGACGGUACCCGUAGAAUAAGCCCCGGCUAACUUCGUGCCAGCAGCCGCGGUAAUACGAAGGGGGCUAGCGUUGCCCGGAAUCACUGGGCGUAAAGCGCACGUGGGCGGACUCUUAAGUCGGUGGUGAAAUCCUGGAGCUCAACUCCAGAACUGCCUUCGAUACUGGGAGUCUCGAGUUCGGGAGAGGUGAGUGGAACUGCAAGUGUCGAGGGGAAAUUCGUAGAUAUUCGCAAGAACACCAGUGGCGGAGGCGGCUCACUGGCCCGAUACUGACGCUGAGGUGCGAAAGCGUGGGGAGC